This 1332-nucleotide ribosomal RNA is filed under the name uncultured bacterium. RNAcentral's name for it is "bacterial SSU rRNA". It matches the Rfam family "Bacterial small subunit ribosomal RNA", at positions 28 to 1381 of the family's 1533-position model. The record is from RNAcentral.
GACGAACGCUGGCGGCGCGCCUAACACAUGCAAGUCGAACGAGAGAUGAGGAGCUUGCUCUUCAAAUCGAGUGGCGAACGGGUGAGUAACGCGUGAGGAACCUGCCUCAAAGAGGGGGACAACAGUUGGAAACGACUGCUAAUACCGCAUAAGCCCACGGCUCGGCAUCGAGCAGAGGGAAAAGGAGCAGUCCGCUUUGAGAUGGCCUCGCGUCCGAUUAGCUAGUUGGUGAGGUAACGGCCCACCAAGGCGACGAUCGGUAGCCGGACUGAGAGGUUGAACGGCCACAUUGGGACUGAGACACGGCCCAGACUCCUACGGGAGGCAGCAGUGGGGAAUAUUGCACAAUGGGGGAAACCCUGAUGCAGCGACGCCGCGUGGAGGAAGAAGGUCUUCGGAUUGUAAACUCCUGUUGUUGAGGAAGAUAAUGACGGUACUCAACAAGGAAGUGACGGCUAACUACGUGCCAGCAGCCGCGGUAAAACGUAGGUCACAAGCGUUGUCCGGAAUUACUGGGUGUAAAGGGAGCGCAGGCGGGAGAACAAGUUGGAAGUGAAAUCCAUGGGCUCAACCCAUGAACUGCUUUCAAAACUGUUUUUCUUGAGUAGUGCAGAGGUAGGCGGAAUUCCCGGUGUAGCGGUGGAAUGCGUAGAUAUCGGGAGGAACACCAGUGGCGAAGGCGGCCUACUGGGCACCAACUGACGCUGAGGCUCGAAAGUGUGGGUAGCAAACAGGAUUAGAUACCCUGGUAGUCCACACCGUAAACGAUGAUUACUAGGUGUUGGAGGAUUGACCCCUUCAGUGCCGCAGUUAACACAAUAAGUAAUCCACCUGGGGAGUACGACCGCAAGGUUGAAACUCAAAGGAAUUGACGGGGGCCCGCACAAGCAGUGGAGUAUGUGGUUUAAUUCGACGCAACGCGAAGAACCUUACCAAGUCUUGACAUCCCUUGACGAACAUAGAAAUAUGUUUUCUCUUCGGAGCAAGGAGACAGGUGGUGCAUGGUUGUCGUCAGCUCGUGUCGUGAGAUGUUGGGUUAAGUCCCGCAACGAGCGCAACCCUUAUGGUCAGUUACUACGCAAGAGGACUCUGGCCAGACUGCCGUUGACAAAACGGAGGAAGGUGGGGAUGACGUCAAAUCAUCAUGCCCUUUAUGACUUGGGCUACACACGUACUACAAUGGCGUUAAACAAAGAGAAGCAAGACCGCGAGGUGGAGCAAAACUCAGAAACAACGUCCCAGUUCGGACUGCAGGCUGCAACUCGCCUGCACGAAGUCGGAAUUGCUAGUAAUCGUGGAUCAGCAUGCCACGGUGAAUACGUUCCCGGGCCU